This 73-nucleotide transfer RNA is filed under the name Dreissena polymorpha. It matches the Rfam family "tRNA". From Rfam's summary of the family: Transfer RNA (tRNA) molecules are approximately 80 nucleotides in length. Their secondary structure includes four short double-helical elements and three loops (D, anti-codon, and T loops). The record is from Rfam by way of RNAcentral. Lineage: Eukaryota; Metazoa; Mollusca; Bivalvia; Myida; Dreissenidae.
GGGGAAUUAGCUCAAGUGGUAGAGCGCUCGCUUAGCAUGUGAGAAGUACAGGGAUCGAUACCCUGAUUCUCCA